This 902-nucleotide long non-coding RNA is filed under the name Homo sapiens (human). Its description in RNAcentral is "HSALNT0166874". The record is from RNAcentral. Lineage: Eukaryota; Metazoa; Chordata; Mammalia; Primates; Hominidae.
CCAGUCACUUGUGCCAUGAGCUGCCACUCUGAGGACCACUCCCUUGGGACCACACAUGGUUAAAGCCACCACCUGGCCUUUUCUCCUCCUGCCUCCUGAUAUGACUCUGUGGUACAAGGGCCAUCCACAGAGCUCCCAGCUGCAGACAUGUGUUCCUGCUCAGACAGGGCCAGAAGGCACUGCCAACCUCGGUGCCAUUGCUCUGGGAGCUGACCGUCCUCCAGUUCCUCUUCCUGGAAUCCUCGGGUUAUUCAUGUCUGUGUGCCUGGGCUCCUGGCUAGGUUGGCCAGUUCAAGCUAAUUUGAUUCUGGAAGACUUUUCCCAGUAGUAGCAGCACGAAGUGACUGCUGCUUGAUUCCUGUGGAUAUGUGUAUGAUUUGGGGGAUGGAAGUGGAAGGGAGGCUUCCUUUCUCUGGAAUCCCAAGGAGUGGAGCAUAGCUCAAAGGAACAACCAUGUGUGAGAGACACCUCUAUCACCUGGAGCCAUCUAGCUGCCCCCCAGCAUCCAGAGGAAAAGGAGCCUCAGAGCCUCUGGGCCACUCCCAAAGGAGUCCAGAGAAAGUCUUGGAUCUGGUAGCCUGCUGCCCCCCAACUGCAUGGGGAGGUGGAGAUGGACUGUCAGCCAGGUGGACGUCCUCCAAGCACUGAGGGAACUGCUGGUGAUGGACGCACCUGCCGGAGCCAGAGCCUUAGACCAGGGAUGCUUUAUAAAGGAAUCAUCGAGUCCGUAGCCUUUGAGACACGCUUCUUCUAUUCCGUGAUGCCUUUGAGAUGCACCAUGUCAUUGCCUGUAUCAGUAGUUUGUUCCUUGUGUUGCUAAGUGGCAUUCCACUGCAUGGGCGCGCCGUGGUUCAUCUAUUCCCCUGAUGAAAGACAUGUGUACUGUUUCAAGGUGGGUUUUU